RNAcentral lists this ribosomal RNA (734 nucleotides) under Pantoea dispersa. Its description in RNAcentral is "bacterial SSU rRNA". It matches the Rfam family "Bacterial small subunit ribosomal RNA", at positions 54 to 778 of the family's 1533-position model. The record is from RNAcentral. Lineage: Bacteria; Pseudomonadati; Pseudomonadota; Gammaproteobacteria; Enterobacterales; Erwiniaceae.
CAUGCAGUCGAACGGCAGCACAGAAGAGCUUGCUCUUCGGGUGGCGAGUGGCGGACGGGUGAGUAAUGUCUGGGAAACUGCCCGAUGGAGGGGGAUAACUACUGGAAACGGUAGCUAAUACCGCAUAACGUCGCAAGACCAAAGUGGGGGACCUUCGGGCCUCACACCAUCGGAUGUGCCCAGAUGGGAUUAGCUAGUAGGUGGGGUAACGGCUCACCUAGGCGACGAUCCCUAGCUGGUCUGAGAGGAUGACCAGCCACACUGGAACUGAGACACGGUCCAGACUCCUACGGGAGGCAGCAGUGGGGAAUAUUGCACAAUGGGCGCAAGCCUGAUGCAGCCAUGCCGCGUGUAUGAAGAAGGCCUUCGGGUUGUAAAGUACUUUCAGCGGGGAGGAAGGCGAUGCGGUUAAUAACCGCGUCGAUUGACGUUACCCGCAGAAGAAGCACCGGCUAACUCCGUGCCAGCAGCCGCGGUAAUACGGAGGGUGCAAGCGUUAAUCGGAAUUACUGGGCGUAAAGCGCACGCAGGCGGUCUGUCAAGUCGGAUGUGAAAUCCCCGGGCUUAACCUGGGAACUGCAUUCGAAACUGGCAGGCUAGAGUCUUGUAGAGGGGGGUAGAAUUCCAGGUGUAGCGGUGAAAUGCGUAGAGAUCUGGAGGAAUACCGGUGGCGAAGGCGGCCCCCUGGACAAAGACUGACGCUCAGGUGCGAAAGCGUGGGGAGCAAACAGGAU